Molecule: non-coding RNA, 111 nt
Organism: Phaseolus vulgaris (common bean)
Lineage: Eukaryota; Viridiplantae; Streptophyta; Magnoliopsida; Fabales; Fabaceae
Source: Rfam
GGAGGAGGCAUCCAAAGGGAUCGCAUUGAUCCCAAAUCUCAGAUUUAUAAAUUUUUCCUUCCUUUCUUUUCUUAAUAUUUGGGAUCAUGCUAUCCCUUUGGAUUCCUCCUU